Molecule: unclassified non-coding RNA, 97 nt
Organism: Cricetulus griseus (Chinese hamster)
Lineage: Eukaryota; Metazoa; Chordata; Mammalia; Rodentia; Cricetidae
Gene: 7SK
Rfam family: 7SK RNA
About the family: 7SK was discovered as an abundant small nuclear RNA in the mid-70s but a possible function has only recently been suggested.
Source: Ensembl
GUGUGAGGGUAAUCUGGCUGCAGCAUUCCUGUUGAAAACCAGGGUUGCUUUGGUUAAUCUGCCUGGCUAGACAGUGCCAUCCCCUUCCCACACAGGC